CUCCGUAAUUUAUUGUGAUAAAUUUACUUCUAAUCCAAUCCUUCACAACAUGACUGCCUCUGUUGUUUCAUCAUUUGACAGCAACAUUGACGAACAGACCAUCAGUCAGGUCUCACCGAAUCUGAGUACAACGAGCACAAUUUACCGGAAAUAGGAUCACCCAGCUUCCUAUUCUAUUUUCGUCUAAUGGUCCUCAGCGACGAAAAAUCAGGAUUCCCGAUGCGUCCCUUGACAAAUCUUGUAACAGCUUGGGAAAGCAAUAAGACGUUCGGGGAGAACUUCUCUAUAAUGCUUAGAUGGAAGAGAAGUGUGUACAAAUUACUCUGGAAACACAUGUUAAUCUACUUUCUAGUGUACAUAUUGCUAAGCAUUAUUGACCAAUUCAUCCUCCACGAAAACGGGAAAAGGAACUUCAGAGCUAUGGCCGAACAUUGUUCUCGCUAUUCGGGGAGCAUAAAUCUGAUGGUCAUGUUGGGAUUUUUUACGUCAACAGCCAUGCAACGCUUAUUCUCCAUGCAAACCACAGUACCUGGCACUGCCAAAUCAAUUACCAUAUUCAUCUCGUCAUUGAAACCAGACCUUCUUGAGGGGGCGAUGAUAAUCGAGCAAUUUGCCCGAUGGCAAUUACUCGCAUGGGUUCUUACUUUUCGUCUCGUCUGUCGGCCGCUACGUAAAAUUUACCCCGAUCUUAAGUCUUUGGAAGCUACAGGAUUAUUGACGCCGGAGGAAAGGGGAAUUAUGGAAGACCCCGAUCAGACUAAGCAAAGUACACCUUGCGUCCUCGUUGUUUUCGAUUGGAUGCUGUUGCUAUUAAAGGAAACCUUCAUACAAAAACGUUACUUCAAUGAAAGCAAUUAUCUGAAAAACGUAGACACACUCAUGGCAUUUAAAAAAAGUUGUGGUAACGUGAUUAAAUUUGCCACACAGAACAUUUCUCCUGCCCUAGUACAGGCUGUCGUUUUGUCUGUUUACUGUUUUGGAUGUAUUACUGUCAUGGCCCGUAUGUUUAGUAAGGAAGAUGCUCCAAUCUCUAGCGCCUUCAUUUCCUACGUUCCAGUACUGCCAGCCAUGCAGUUCUUUAUUUAUUUCGCCUGGCUCUGUUUUGGUAAAGCUGCGCUGGAUCCUUUUGGAGAUGACGAAGACGAUAUUGAUGUCCCGCAAAUGGUCAAGCUGCAUAUCGAGAAUGCUGAAAGACUGAAAGGCCUUUACGGCAUGCAUCUCGAGAAAGUUUUUCCUAACUUGCCACAGAAACACUAUAAUUCAGCCCCCGUAUAAGGUAGUUUACGAACUUCAAAUGUGUGCAACAGAUUGCCGAAUGGAUCACAAAAAAAUUAGCAUUUUUCGUUACUUCAGAUAAAGUUCUCUAUACUGUGAUCGGUAAUCGAAAAAAAAAAGCCUACCUUAUCUCUGUAGUUCAAAUCUGAAAAUAUUAAGGCUUCCAUCGAAGUAAAAUGCUUUAUUGACUUUCUGUUUUUAUGUUUUUUUUUCCUUUACUGGUUGAAAAAAAUUCAUGAAUGAAAAAAUUUCUCGUCGCGUAUGACCAGUGAAAUUAGAAAAUUUCACGGAACGAAUGCAAGGAAAAAAAAAUUCAAGUUCGAUCUAAAUUUUGAUUGAUCUUAAAUGUUGCGGAAUCUUUCUUUUAUGUAUUGAGAUAUCGGUAGGAAUCCUUGCCAAAAUUCUGGAUCCCAUAAAAAUAUUACAUCUCUUGGAAUGCAAUGAAAAUCCCUCGUUAUUGUCAAGACAAAACGGUGAUUUUGAAAAUAUAAUUUAUUUCAAUAGAUUUUUCCGAUUUAUUGAAUUCCAAAUCACAAUUUUAAUGCCAACUUUUCCCCCCUAAAAAGUCGGCUUAAAAAACCGCGCUGAUUUCUUUUAUGGGGAGGGGGUGGGUUUCAAGAUCAAGAAAAGGGGCGGUGCCUGAAUUUAGUGUAAGACGGACACUAGAUGUCAGUUUAGGAUUAGUUAUUUAUUUCUGCUGACUUGUCACUUUGUCUUGUCAGCUGAAACGGGAACGACGGUGUGUAAGAGCUCCACCAAGGCGGAGUUAACAAACGUAGUUUGGUCAUAGAAGAAGUUUUUGAUCUACCAUGAAAAGCAUGAAAUCUACCGAAGCCACUAAGAUUAUCCGGGCAGCAAGGUUUUUAGGUUGUCCAUGCAUAAUUUCAUUGCUUGAAAUGUGGUGAAGCAGAAUAAGAUUGUUAUUGGGUUGUAAAUGGUUGUUAUUGGAUUUGUGGUUUUAAAUUUUCAUUGAAACUCCAUCAGCUUCUGUGCAGCAUUUCAACGAAGAUUUGCAUUGCCCUCGUUCUGAAUUAGAAAAUCCGGUCAAAACAUGUUUUUAAAGAAGCCCGACAAAAUGCUUGACCUUUUCCCUUUUUUUUCCAAUAACUCGUAUAUUGCUAUAAAAUUACACGAUUUGGAUUCGAAA
RNAcentral lists this unclassified non-coding RNA (2422 nucleotides) under Daphnia magna. Its description in RNAcentral is "bestrophin-4, transcript variant X1". Lineage: Eukaryota; Metazoa; Arthropoda; Branchiopoda; Diplostraca; Daphniidae. The record is from RNAcentral.